This 479-nucleotide ribosomal RNA is filed under the name uncultured bacterium. RNAcentral describes it as "partial 16S ribosomal RNA". It matches the Rfam family "Bacterial small subunit ribosomal RNA", at positions 28 to 523 of the family's 1533-position model. The record is from RNAcentral.
GAUGAACGCUGGCGGCGUGCUUAACACAUGCAAGUCGAACGAUUAAGACCCCUUCGGGGGUGUAUAGAGUGGCGAACGGGUGAGUAACACGUGGGCAACCUGCCCCUUCCUCUGGGAUAACACGGAGAAAUCCGUCCUAAUACCGGAUACUCCAUAUCUGCGGCAUUGCGGAAAUGUGAAAGCCCCGACGGGAAGGGAUGGGCCCGCGGUCCAUGAGCUAGUCGGGGGGGUAACGGCCUACCGAGGCGACGAGGGAUAGCCGGGUUGAGAGACCAACCGGCCACAUUGGGACUGAGACACGGCCCAGACUCCUACGGGAGGCAGCAGUGGGGAAUUUUGCGCAAUGGGGGAAACCCUGACGCAGCAACGCCGCGUGCGGGAUGAAGGCCUUCGGGUUGUAAACCGCUUUCAGCAGGGAAGAAUACAGACGGUACCUGCAGAAGAAGCUCCGGCUAACUACGUGCCAGCAGCCGCGGUAA